AUUGAACGCAGGCGGCAGGCCUAACACAUGCAAGUCGAACGGUAACAGAAAGCAGCUUGCUGCUUUGCUGACGAGUGGCGGACGGGUGAGUAACGUCUGGGAAACUGCCUGAUGGAGGGGGAUAACUACUGGAAACGGUAGCUAAUACCGCAUAAUGUCGCAAGACCAAAGAGGGGGACCUUCGGGCCUCUUGCCAUCGGAUGUGCCCAGAUGGGAUUAGCUAGUAGGUGGGGUAACGGCUCACCUAGGCGACGAUCCCUAGCUGGUCUGAGAGGAUGACCAGCCACACUGGAACUGAGACACGGUCCAGACUCCUACGGGAGGCAGCAGUGGGGAAUAUUGCACAAUGGGCGCAAGCCUGAUGCAGCCAUGCCGCGUGUAUGAAGAAGGCCUUCGGGUUGUAAAGUACUUUCAGCGGGGAGGAAGGGAGUAAAGUUAAUACCUUUGCUCAUUGAUGUUACCCGCAGAAGAAGCACCGGCAAACUCCGUGCCAGCAGCCGCGGUAAUACGGAGGGUGCAAGCGUUAAUCGGAAUUACUGGGCGUAAAGCGCACGCAGGCGGUUUGUUAAGUCAGAUGUGAAAUCCCCGGGCUCAACCUGGGAACUGCAUCUGAUACUGGCAAGCUUGAGUCUCGUAGAGGGGGGUAGAAUUCCAGGUGUAGCGGUGAAAUGCGUAGAGAUCUGGAGGAAUACCGGUGGCGAAGGCGGCCCCCUGGACGA
RNAcentral lists this ribosomal RNA (719 nucleotides) under uncultured Pseudomonadota bacterium. Its description in RNAcentral is "bacterial SSU rRNA". It matches the Rfam family "Bacterial small subunit ribosomal RNA", at positions 28 to 736 of the family's 1533-position model. The record is from RNAcentral. Lineage: Bacteria; Pseudomonadati; Pseudomonadota.